CUACGAAAGGUGCAAGCGUUGUUCGGAUUUACUGGGCGUAAAGAGAGUGUAGGUGGUUUAUUAAGUCGGAUGUGAAAUCCCGGGGCUGAACCUCGGAACUGCAUUCGAUACUGAUAGGCUAGAGUUUGGGAGGGGUAAGCGGAAUUCCGUGUGUAGCAGUGAAAUGCGUAGAUAUACGGAGGAACACCUGGGGCGAAGGCGGCUUACUGGACCAAUACUGACACUGAGACUCGAAAGCGUGGGUAGCAAACAGGAUUAGAUACCCUUGUAGUCC
Molecule: ribosomal RNA, 274 nt
Filed under: uncultured bacterium
Lineage: Bacteria
Description: partial 16S ribosomal RNA
Rfam family: Bacterial small subunit ribosomal RNA
Source: RNAcentral